UUUUUCAUUCGAGUGUGGAAAUUGAACGCGGCCCGAAUGGUGGGAUCCACAACCUUCAACUUUCUUCUCAACGAAGUAGUCGGUGUUACUUUUCCAUCAAAUGUCUAGACAACUUGACAACUUCUCCUAGGAGGUUAUUGGCUCCCUGUUCAAUACAGAAAGAAUCUCUCCAUCUUCCCCAAUAUAUACUCACGCUCGCUCCCUCUUUCAUCAAACCCAAUCCCUCACCCACCUCUCGUCCAUGUCAAAGAAAAACUGCCCCUCCCUCUCUUCUCUGUUAAACAAGUAAAACUGCCCCUCACCGGUUGAUGAUCCCGCCGAUCCUUCCUCUGUCAAUAAGAAUAGCAAACACCUCUCCUCCCUUUCAAUUUCAAACCUCCUGAACUCGUCUCGAAUCAGGUAGCGAAAGAAGAACAAGGGAGGCCUCGUGCCUUUCUUCCCUGUUUUAGGAAGAGGAAUGAAUUACAACAUCCCAUCGGUUAUGGCAAAUCCGAUCGCGGGGUGUUGUAGACGCCGGAAGUUGGAUACGACUUCCAUCCAACCAAUGAAGAAUUAGAUAAUUAUUUAUAAUUAUCUAAUUUUCAUUGAGGCUAAAGUUGGACCAUCCGACCAAUGAAGAAUUAAACAGUAAAUUAUAAUUUUAUAAUAAAUAAAGACUUAGUUAUUAUUAUAGAAUAAAUAUUGAUGCUGUAAUCUACCAGUCGACGUAUCUUCCUUUAUAUAUACUACAUUACACUACUGUUAAGUAACUUGCAGUUUUAGUGGAUUCUGUCACCGUGACAUUUGCUUAA
Long non-coding RNA from Populus nigra (black poplar), 791 nucleotides. RefSeq lists it as uncharacterized. The transcript has 2 exons. NCBI's taxonomy places the organism in Eukaryota, Viridiplantae, Streptophyta, Magnoliopsida, Malpighiales, Salicaceae. The record is from RefSeq and is a predicted model, not a curated record.